Molecule: long non-coding RNA, 2049 nt
Filed under: Triticum aestivum (bread wheat)
Lineage: Eukaryota; Viridiplantae; Streptophyta; Magnoliopsida; Poales; Poaceae
Description: long non-coding RNA (TAES_LNC001151)
Source: RNAcentral
CAAGAGAAAAAAAAUCAUAUAUUGGAUAAAUUGUUGGAUUACAAUAGUGGAUAUUACAGGAGGAACAUCAUCCAAUUGUGAUGCAUAAUCUUAAUAUUUUCUUGACAACGAAACUUAAACCGCAUGCAUCCAUCAACAUCCCUACAAGUUAAACUAAAACUUGACCAAGGAACAUCAUCCAACAAUAACAACAUCCCUACAACUUAACUAAACUGAAAGCAUCCGUCAUCAUCAUCAUGAACCGGAACAUUAUCAUCAUCAUUGUAUACUUGCCACACACUCAUGUAAUCAUCCAUACAUCUUUUGAAUCUACAAAGAAAAUAACAAAUGAAAUGUUAACACAAAAUGCAUUGACAUGAUGCAAUUAGUGAUAGAUGCGGGAUAUUAGUCACAUAUAAAGGUUGAAAGCCGUGCCAUCUUUGUUUUUCUUGCGUGGGCAAGUUAUUUUGCUAUAACUAUAAAGGUACUAUAUUAUCAUAUAUUGUAUUCUAAAAUUUAUUGGAACAAAAUAUACAUCAUAAAUUUGAGAAUCUACUUAUGAUAUUGUAUGUUAGUAUGUUACUAAAAAGACUAUAAAUUUCUUCCUAUGUCCUCCUUAUUGAACAAAGAAGUCUUUCUAAAUUGUGUAAGAACAUAACAUACAUGUACUGGUAAACGAAUCAUAUACAUUCUCUAAUGCCCAUUUCAUCAAUCUACCAAACAACAAAAUACUUGAAAGGGGCAAGGUAAAGCCAUGAUACAGGGCUAAAGUUCACUAUGGACAUGUAUAUAGUUUGGAUAUUCAUCAUGCUUCAGAGUUUGCUUCCAAACCAAAAAAUCAAACAACACAUAAAAUUGGUAUCAAUAAUAUUAGGUAUUUGUGCAAAGAAUUUAUCACAACACAGAAAGGUUUCAAAGAGAACACAUAAAAAUAGUUCCCAUGCCCAGAUGUGCAGCUGCCAGCAAAAGUGAAACAAUGUGCCAGCAAAGCCCAUUCUCAUUUAUGGUGUUCUUAUUGUUCACGAAAACAACAGUAGGUAUGAAAAACUAUACUAUUCCAAAGGCUCAGAAUUUUCGAAAGUCAUGGUUUUCUCUUUCCGUGAACUGUAUAGACCAAGUACAUACCCAUGUUAUCAAAUGAUGGUAGCGAUGAACACAAUGAAAAAGGGUUAAUGAAAAAUACAAAAAAUAAAUUUACCUGAUGAAAGAACACCAGGACGAAGUCAAAGAUAUAUUCACAAUCUAAUUGUGAAACAGAUAAAUUCACAAUAUAAUUGCAGAGUCGUAGGACCUGAAAUAGGUCAGAUGUUCCAAGUUAGAAUAAAAGCCAAUAUGAUGUCCGCAGAAUAAUAUAAUGACAAGUAUCAUACUAACUAGCUGUUCUGAUAAUGUGAUUGAGCUUUAUAUCUUAGCAUUCGCAGUGUCAUGGAGUAAUUCUCUGCUAUGAAACCUGCAUGCUCCUUCCGCUUGUGUCUGUACACUAAAAUGUUGAAGCAUCUUCCAUCAGAUGACCACUGAUUCAAACCAUAGUGAUUUCUGAAAUGAAGUAUUAGCCCCUGUGUACCAUCUAGAUAUAACACUGGAUAUCGUCCAGAUUAUAAGUAAUUCACCACAAACUCGUGGUUAGAAAAUGAUUCAAUCUAAGUAAUGUGUGUGUGCGCGCGCGCACGUGUGCGUGUGCAUGUGCGUGUGUUGCGUCUGUGUGUGUGUAGCUAUAACUUUGACUUAACAAUUGUGAUAUACAUGGAUUAAAUGAAGAUAUUGUCAAAGAAAUCUAUAAAAUUGAAUUAUUUUAAGAAAAUAAAUGCUUAAACAAGAAUAUUUUUUGGUAACUAGGCGACAUUUCACUACACAUGCAAUAGGCAUACAAACGUGCAGCAAAAGAGAUUCAGUUACACAACCUAUGCCCAACAACCCUGGCCAGUGGCGUGAGGUUAUCAAAUCCAUAGAGAUAUAAAGUCUUUGAGGUUUCCUUUAAAUACUCACUUAGAAAAACAUGAUUCACUAAAGAAGAAGAAAUCGCUGGCAUCAACUGUCAGCCUUUUUUUGAGAGAGACAACACCAACACGU